GACAGCAGCCGCCGCGGUAAUACGAAGGGGGCUAGCGUUGUUCGGAUUUACUGGGCGUAAAGGGCACGUAGGCGGACUGAUAAGUCAGGGGUGAAAUCCCAAGGCUCAACCUUGGAACUGCCUUUGAUACUGUUUGUCUUGAGUUCGAGAGAGGUAAGUGGAACUGCGAGUGUAGAGGUGAAAUUCGUAGAUAUUCGCAAGAACACCAGUGGCGAAGGCGGCUUACUGGCUCGAAACUGACGCUGAGGCGCGAAAGCGUGGGGAGCAAACAGGAUUAGAGACCCCGGUAGUCCCUGUCUCUUAUAC
RNAcentral lists this ribosomal RNA (306 nucleotides) under uncultured bacterium. Its description in RNAcentral is "partial 16S ribosomal RNA". It matches the Rfam family "Bacterial small subunit ribosomal RNA", at positions 507 to 807 of the family's 1533-position model. The record is from RNAcentral.